RNAcentral lists this transfer RNA (98 nucleotides) under Deltaproteobacteria bacterium. Its description in RNAcentral is "tRNA-Sec". It matches the Rfam family "Selenocysteine transfer RNA". Lineage: Bacteria; Pseudomonadati; Myxococcota; Myxococcia. The record is from RNAcentral.
GGAAGUGCGAGUGAUUCUGGUGAUCACCCCGGACUUCAAAUCCGGUGUGGGGCGUUAGGAGCGUCCUGGGUGGGUUCGAUUCCCAUGCACUUCCGCCA